This 460-nucleotide ribosomal RNA is filed under the name uncultured bacterium. RNAcentral describes it as "partial 16S ribosomal RNA". It matches the Rfam family "Bacterial small subunit ribosomal RNA", at positions 338 to 795 of the family's 1533-position model. The record is from RNAcentral.
CCUACGGGGGGCUGCAGUGAGGAAUAUUGGUCAAUGGACGAGAGUCUGAAGCAGCCAAGUAGCGUGAAGGAUGACUGCCCUAUGGGUUGUAAACUUCUUUUAUAAAGGACUAAAACGAGGCUCGUGUGCCUUUUUGCAUGUACUUUAUGAAUAAGGAUCGGCUAACUCCGUGACAGCAGCCGCGGUAAUACGGAGGAUCCGAGCGUUAUCCGGAUUUAUUGGGUUUAAAGGGAGCGUAGAUGGGUUGUUAAGUCAGUUGGGAAAGUUUGCGGCUCAACCGUAGAAUUGCAAUUGAUACUGGCAGUCGUGAGUACAGUUGAGGUAGGCGGAAUUCGUGGUGUAGCGGUGAAAUGCUUAGAUAUCACGAAGAACCCCGAUUGCGAAGGCAGCUUACUAAACUGUGACUGACAUUGAUGCUCGAAAGUGUGGGUAUCAAACAGGAGUAGAUACCCCAGUAGUC